RNAcentral lists this ribosomal RNA (245 nucleotides) under uncultured bacterium. RNAcentral describes it as "partial 16S ribosomal RNA". It matches the Rfam family "Bacterial small subunit ribosomal RNA", at positions 32 to 269 of the family's 1533-position model. The record is from RNAcentral.
AAUCAACGCUGGCGGCGUGCCUCAGACAUGCAAGUCGAACGAUUAAAGCUCUCUUCGGAGAGUGUAUAGAGUGGCGCACGGGUGAGUAACACGUAAGUAAUCUACCUUCGAGUGGGGAAUAACGUCCGGAAAUGGACGCUAAUACCGCAUAAUGCAGCGGCAUCGCAAGAUGACAGUUGUUAAAGAUUUAUCGCUUGAAGAGGAGCUUGCGGCAGAUUAGCUAGUUGGUAAGGUAAUGGCUCACC